AAAGAAAAAAAGGGGGAGAAUGCUGCGAAUUUGGACGAAGAGGAGAUUAGCUUCACAAUGCUUGAUUCCAUGGCGGAUGUACCCAACUGCUCUCAUUUCUACCCGAAAUAGCUCCAGCGGAAUCCUACACGACACUCUCGACCGGAACUCCGAUUCGUAUACUCGAAACUCAAAAGUCAUGGAUGAACUUGUAUCACAGCUUCAUUCUCACAUUCUCAAGGUUAUGGAAGGAGGAGGACCAGAAGCUGUGAAGAGACAUCGGAGUAGGAAUAAGCUUCUUCCCAGAGAGAGGAUCGAUCGCCUUAUUGACCCUGGCUCUUCAUUCCUUGAGCUUUGUCAGCUUGCGGGUCAUGAAUUGUACCAAGAGCCAUUACCUUCUGGUGGGAUAAUUAUUGGAAUUGGUACAAUACAUAAGAGACUCUGUAUGUUGGUGGCAAAUGAUUCUACAGUCAAAGGUGGAAGUUACUUUCCAAUAACUGUCAAGAAACAUCUCAGGGCACAAGAGAUUGCUGCUCAAUGCAAACUACCAUGUAUAUAUCUUGUUGAUAGUGGUGGUGCUUUCCUUCCGAAGCAAGCCGAGGUCUUUCCUGACAAAGAAAAUUUUGGGAGAAUAUUUUACAAUCAAGCUGUGAUGUCCUCGGAAGGUAUUCCUCAAAUCGCACUGGUGUUAGGUUCUUGUACUGCCGGAGGAGCUUACAUUCCUGCAAUGGCUGAUGAGAGUGUCAUGGUCAAAGGAAAUGGUACCAUAUUUUUGGCUGGACCUCCUCUUGUAAAGGCAGCAACUGGUGAGGAAGUUUCUGCAGAAGACCUUGGAGGUGCAACUGUGCAUUGUAAGACAUCAGGGGUUUCUGACUACUUUGCCCAUGAUGAACUGCAUGCCCUUGCUAUAGGAAGGGAUAUUGUUAAGAACCUGCACAUGGCUGGUGGUCCAGAAGUAUCUGGACAAACUAGAGCUGAUUAUAAAGAACCUCUGUAUGACGUGAAAGAACUUCGCACCGUUGCACCAACAGACCUCAAACAGCCCUUUGAUGUUAGAUCAAUUAUUGCUCGCAUUCUCGAUGGAAGUGAAUUUGAUGAAUUCAAGAAACUGUAUGGCACUACACUUGUGACUGGAUUUGGAAGAAUUUGUGGACAGCCAGUAGGGAUCCUUGGAAACAAUGGGAUACUGUUUAUGGAAUCUGCUCAGAAAGGGGCACACUUUAUUGAAUUGUGUACUCAACGUAACAUUCCUCUGAUCUUCCUUCAGAAUAUUACUGGAUUUAUGGUUGGGUCCAAAUCUGAGGCAAGUGGUAUUGCCAAAGCUGGAGCUAAAAUGGUAAUGGCAGUCUCUUGUGCGAAGGUGCCUAAGAUCACCGUAGUUAUUGGGGGAAGCUUUGGAGCUGGCAAUUAUGCAAUGUGUGGACGUGCAUAUAGUCCAAAUUUCAUGUUCUUCUGGCCAAAUGCUCGAAUAUCCGUAAUGGGAGGCCCUCAGGCUGCUGGAGUCCUUGCUCAAGUAGAGGGAAUCACCAAGAGAAAAAGGGGAAUUCAGUGGACAAAGGAAGAGGAAGAAAAGUUCAAGGCUAAAGUUGUAGAGGCGUAUGACCGAGAGGGAAGCCCAUAUUAUGCCACAUCUAGGCUUUGGGAUGACGGCAUAAUUGAUCCAGCAGACACGAGGAGAAUAUUGAGCCUUUGCAUCUCUGCUACCUUGAAUCGUGGACCAGAAGCUACAAAAUAUGGCGUGUUCAGAAUGUAACCAUUGCAAGCUCAAGCUAAAGAAAGAUGAUGCUAUGAUGCCUGAGCCCUGAGAGUUGUUGAAUUAGUCAACAGCAGAAACUCCAACUGCAAAAUCAGCUAAAGUUCUAAGUUGUCAAAGCAAAAGGUAAAUUGGUUACAUGCCAAGGACGAGAAACUCAAUAAUUUACAAAAAGAAAUAGUUGGAUUAGGUUGAGCGUGCAGUCAUAGUCCGAUGAAAUUAUGUUUUUUUUUUUAAUUAUUGUAAUUGGUUCUGGGAACUAAUAACUGUGGUUCCGUGGCUGCUUCUAAAUUACUGACUACAUCAAAAUGAG
Molecule: unclassified non-coding RNA, 2045 nt
Filed under: Hevea brasiliensis (rubber tree)
Lineage: Eukaryota; Viridiplantae; Streptophyta; Magnoliopsida; Malpighiales; Euphorbiaceae
Source: RNAcentral